Molecule: ribosomal RNA, 253 nt
Filed under: uncultured bacterium
Lineage: Bacteria
Description: partial 16S ribosomal RNA
Rfam family: Bacterial small subunit ribosomal RNA
Source: RNAcentral
UACGUAGGUGGCAAGCGUUGUCCGGAUUUAUUGGGUUUAAAGGGUGCGUAGGCGGCCCAGUAAGUCAGUGGUGAAAUGCUCUAGCUUAACUAGAGGGGUGCCAUUGAUACUGCAGGGCUUGAGUACAGACGAGGUAGGCGGAAUUGACGGUGUAGCGGUGAAAUGCAUAGAUAUCGUCAAGAACUCCGAUAGUGAAGACAGCUUACUAGGCUGUAACUGACGCUGAGGCACGAAAGUGUGGGGAUCAAACAGG